RNAcentral lists this ribosomal RNA (406 nucleotides) under uncultured bacterium. Its description in RNAcentral is "partial 16S ribosomal RNA". It matches the Rfam family "Bacterial small subunit ribosomal RNA", at positions 30 to 527 of the family's 1533-position model. The record is from RNAcentral.
AUUGAACGCUGGCGGCAGGCCUAACACAUGCAAGUCGAACGAGUGGCGGACGGGUGAGUAAUGUCUGGGAAACUGCCUGAUGGAGGGGGAUAACUACUGGAAACGGUAGCUAAUACCGCAUACCAUCAGAUGUGCCCAGAGGGGAUUCGCUAGUUGGUGGGGUAACGGCUCCCCAGGGCGAAGAUCCCUAUCUGGUCUGAGAGGAUUACCAGCCACACUGGAACUUAGCCACGGUCCAGACUCCUACGUGAGGCAGCAGUGGGGAAUAUUUCACAAUGGGCGCAAGCCUGAUGCAGCCAUGCCGCGUGUAUGAAGAAGGCCUGCGGGUUGUAAAGUACUUUCAGCGGGGAGGCGUUACCCGAAGAAGAAGCACCGGCUAACUCCGUGCCAGCAGCCGCGGUAAUUG